CACGGUGAGUAACACGUAUCCAACCUGCCGUCUACUCUUGGACAGCCUUCUGAAAGGAAGAUUAAUACAAGAUGGCAUCAUGAGUUCACAUGUUCACAUGAUUAAAGGUAUUCCGGUAGACGAUGGGGAUGCGUUCCAUUAGAUAGUAGGCGGGGUAACGGCCCACCUAGUCUUCGAUGGAUAGGGGUUCUGAGAGGAAGGUCCCCCACAUUGGAACUGAGACACGGUCCAA
RNAcentral lists this ribosomal RNA (232 nucleotides) under uncultured bacterium. Its description in RNAcentral is "partial 16S ribosomal RNA". It matches the Rfam family "Bacterial small subunit ribosomal RNA", at positions 105 to 334 of the family's 1533-position model. The record is from RNAcentral.